AUUGAACGCUGGCGGAAUGCUUUACACAUGCAAGUCGAGCGGCAGCGCGGGGCAACCUGGCGGCGAGCGGCGAACGGGUGAGUAAUACAUCGGAACGUACCCAGGUUGUGGGGGAUAGCCCGGCGAAAGCCGGAUUAAUACCGCAUACGACCUGAGGGUGAAAGGGGGGGAUCGCAAGACCUCUCGCAGUUGGAGCGGCCGAUGGCGGAUUAGCUAGUUGGUAGGGUAAAGGCCUACCAAGGCGACGAUCUGUAGCGGGUCUGAGAGGAUGAUCCGCCACACUGGGACUGAGACACGGCCCAGACUCCUACGGGAGGCAGCAGUGGGGAAUUUGGACAAUGGGCGCAAGCCUGAUCCAGCCAUGCCGCGUGCGGGACGAAGGCCUC
RNAcentral lists this ribosomal RNA (386 nucleotides) under uncultured bacterium. RNAcentral's name for it is "bacterial SSU rRNA". It matches the Rfam family "Bacterial small subunit ribosomal RNA", at positions 29 to 418 of the family's 1533-position model. The record is from RNAcentral.